This 404-nucleotide ribosomal RNA is filed under the name Actinomycetes bacterium. Its description in RNAcentral is "Actinobacteria bacterium partial 16S ribosomal RNA". It matches the Rfam family "Bacterial small subunit ribosomal RNA", at positions 355 to 776 of the family's 1533-position model. The record is from RNAcentral. Lineage: Bacteria; Bacillati; Actinomycetota; Actinomycetes.
UGGGGAAUAUUGGACAAUGGGCGCAAGCCUGAUCCAGCCAUGCCGCGUGAGUGAUGAAGGCCCUAGGGUUGUAAAGCUCUUUCACCGGUGAAGAUAAUGACGGUAACCGGAGAAGAAGCCCCGGCUAACUUCGUGCCAGCAGCCGCGGUAAUACGAAGGGGGCUAGCGUUGUUCGGAUUUACUGGGCGUAAAGCGCACGUAGGCGGACUUUUAAGUCAGGGGUGAAAUCCCGGGGCUCAACCCCGGAACUGCCUUUGAUACUGGAAGUCUUGAGUAUGGUAGAGGUGAGUGGAAUUCCGAGUGUAGCGGUGAAAUGCGCAGAGAUAUGGAGGAACACCAGUGGCGAAGGCGACUUUCUGGUCUGUAACUGACGCUGAUGUGCGAAAGCGUGGGGAUCAAACAGG